This 391-nucleotide ribosomal RNA is filed under the name Bifidocoelotes sp. ZZ383. Its description in RNAcentral is "partial 16S ribosomal RNA". The record is from RNAcentral. Lineage: Eukaryota; Metazoa; Arthropoda; Arachnida; Araneae; Agelenidae.
CUCAAUGAAAUUUAAAUAGCCGCAAUACAAUUGUGCUAAGGUAGCAUAAUCAUUUGUCUUUUAAUUAAAGACUAGAAUAAAAGAUUUAACAUUUUCAUUUCUUUCUAAAAUAAAUCCAUUAAAAUUAUCUUUAAUAUAAAAAGAUAUUAAUUCAUAAAAAAGACGACAAGACCCUAUUGAACUUAACUAAAGUUAAACUGGGGUAGUUAAUUAAAUAUUAUUUUAAUUUUAAUAUAAAAAAUAACCUAAUAUAAUUAAAUAAAUCAAGUUACCAUAGGGAUAACAGCGUAAUAACUUUCCUUAGAUCUUAUUUAAAAAUUUGUUUACGACCUCGAUGUUGAAUUAAUAAUCUACUAAAUGCAAUAAUCUAGUAAGAAAGUCUGUUCGACUU